This 41-nucleotide ribosomal RNA is filed under the name Hepatozoon griseisciuri. RNAcentral describes it as "large subunit ribosomal RNA". The record is from RNAcentral. Lineage: Eukaryota; Apicomplexa; Hepatozoidae.
UUAGCCUGACGGUCAUAAACCAUAAAGCAUGUGAUCUAAUU